UGAAUACGAGAUGCUACGGCAUCGAAGCAGUCUAUGUCAUACUUCCAAGAAAAGCUUGCACUGUCAUAAACAAAUAAUGCCUGUACCAUAACCGACACAGGUGGGUAGGUAGAGUAUACUAAGGGGCGCGAGAUAACUCUCUCUAAGGAACUCGGCAAAAUGACUCCGUAACUUCGGGAGAAGGAGUGCCUUAUUUUAUAAGGUUGCAAUAACAAGAUCCAAGCAGCUGUUUACCAAAAACACAGGUCUCCGCUAAGUCGUAAGACGAUGUAUGGGGGCUGACGCCUGCCCAGUGCCAGAAGGUUAAAGGAGUUGGUUAGCAUUAGCGAAGCUGAUAACUGAAGCCCUGGUGAACGGCGGCCGUAACAAUAACGGUCCUAAGGUAGCGAAAUUCCUUGUCGGGUAAGUUCCGACCCGCACGAAAGGCGUAAUGAUUUGGAUACUGUCUCGGAGAGGGGCUCGGUGAAAUAGACUUGUCUGUGAAGAUGCGGACUACCUGCACCAGGACAGAAAGACCCUAUGAAGCUUUACUGUAACUUGAGAUUGAAAUUGGACUUUAUUUGCGCAGUAUAGGUGGGAGACGUUGAAAAUAUUCUUGUGGGAAUAUUGGAGUCAUCAGUGAGAUACCACUCUUAUAAUGUUAGAUUUCUAACUUUGUAUCAUUAUCUGGUCAAAGAACAGUCUCAGGCGGGCAGUUUGACUGGGGCGGUCGCCUCCCAAACGGUAACGGAGGCGCACAAAGGUUUCCUCUGAACGUGUAGAAAUCGUAUCUAGAGUGUAAAGGCAUAAGGAAGCUUGACUGUGAGACCUACAAGUCGAGCAGGGACGAAAGUCGGUCUUAGUGAUCUGACGGUGCUGAGUGGAAAGGCCGUCACUCAACGGAUAAAAGUUACUCUAAGGAUAACAGGCUGAUCUCCCCCAAGAGUUCACAUCGACGGGGAGGUUUGGCACCUCGAUGUCGGCUCAUCGCAUCCUGGGGCGGUAGUACGUCCCAAGGGUUGGGCUGUUCGCCCAUGAAAGCGGUACGCGAGCUGGGUUCAGAACGUCGUGAGACAGUUCGGUCCAUAUCCGGUGUAGGCGUUAGAAUAUUGAGAGGAGCCUUCUUUAGUACGAGAGGACCGAGAAGGACAUACCUCUGGUGUACCAGUUAUCGUGCCAACGGUAAACGCUGGGUAGCUAUGUAUGGAGAGGAUAACCGCUGAAAGCAUCUAAGUGGGAAGCCCACCUCAAGAUAAGUAUUCUC
Molecule: ribosomal RNA, 1243 nt
Filed under: metagenome
Description: bacterial LSU rRNA
Rfam family: Bacterial large subunit ribosomal RNA
Source: RNAcentral